Ictidomys tridecemlineatus (thirteen-lined ground squirrel) is the source of this 777-nucleotide non-coding RNA. Lineage: Eukaryota; Metazoa; Chordata; Mammalia; Rodentia; Sciuridae. The record is from RefSeq and is a predicted model, not a curated record.
GGGGCUCUUUCCAGAGUGUACUCACCCACACAGAGGGGCAAUACUCAAGCUCUCUCAUCAUGACCUUGAGCCCUCCAACCCAGUGGAACUAGCAUACCACCCUAACCACCAGCAGGAUCCCAUGCUACAGUGUGAACAAUGAGCAGGGGUGCCGUGGACCAGGCUCUCACAUUCAAGGUGGAGUGGAGGAGCCCACUAGUGUCCAGGUGGCUUCAGGUGUCCUCCUGACUGGAAUCUAUGAGAAGGAGGCCAGCAAGUCACACAUCUCCAUCCAUCAGCUGUUUCACAUAAGCAAGACCCUGUGUGGUCUGUCUGAGGACACAGAAAGAAGAACUGCUCUUUCUUCUGUGAUCUCACUUUUGGCCUCUCAUGGUGUUUACUAUUUGCCAUUUAAUGCCACUCUGGAAUGCAUGGGACCUUCAUGGGGUAAAGGUGGAUCCUCAAAGAAUUCUCACAGGAAGAAGAGCUGGAUGCCAGCAGACAAUGCAGAAAAUGGUGCUGGGUAAAAUGCACCUUGCAAAUCAUGACAGAAGAGCCAUCUCAGUUCCUUAAUUUGCUUGGAAGACAAGGUGUGGAAAAUUGAGAAAGGAAAACGUUGCUCAGCUUGAGAAGAUAAAAACACCUUAUACAUGUGAAGAACGGGGGGUUACUCAUUGGGGGCUUAGGCAUAUUACUUAACCAUUUGUAUUUAUUUUUCAUCUGAUAAAGUGAGUAUAAUAAUAUCUGCUGAAGUCCCUUUUCAGAAUUAAAUUAAUAAUAUGUAUACACACAUACUUA